RNAcentral lists this non-coding RNA (46 nucleotides) under Schistosoma mansoni. The record is from RNAcentral. Lineage: Eukaryota; Metazoa; Platyhelminthes; Trematoda; Strigeidida; Schistosomatidae.
GCACUACUGAAGAGUCCCAUACUAGAACGAAACGGACGUCUGAUGC